Pseudophryne corroboree (corroboree frog) is the source of this 603-nucleotide long non-coding RNA. RefSeq lists it as uncharacterized. The record is from RefSeq and is a predicted model, not a curated record. The transcript is spliced from 3 exons. NCBI's taxonomy places the organism in Eukaryota, Metazoa, Chordata, Amphibia, Anura, Myobatrachidae.
GCAUUUCUGUAAUGAGCGGCAGGACGUCAUGACGUCACGCCGAACAUUACAACAUGCGCAACAUGUCACCGUGCGCUUGGGCAGGAAGCCCGCCGCCGCCAGCUGCCAGCCCGCGCCUACUACUGCCUGCUUCCCACGGCCACAGUUGACUGACCGCGUCCGCCGCCGGAGACAUCUUCAGCGGGUUCUUCCCGCGCACAGGCCGCACUGCUGGCUGCCCGGCUGACUGAGAAGGAUGACGGCUCGCUGAGAAAGUCGCCUGUGCAGCCAAAAGUGAGGAUUAAUGAUCACAUGGUGGCGUCCGUGCUGGUCACGUUUUUCUGCUGCUUUUUCACCGGAAUCAUAGCCGUGCUUUAUUCUUAUGCGACCCGGACCGCUCUGAGGAGGGGCGACGUGCUGCAGGCACAGGAGUUUUCCCGAAAAGCGUGCUCCCUUGUGCACAUUAGUCUGGUCAUCGGAGUCUUAUCCUUUUCCAGUUUAUAUAUAUAUAUAGACAUGGGGGUGACCUUCCUCAUAUGAUGGAGGAGGUGCUCAUCUGAAGAAACCAAUCGGCACAUGUGGUUGUACAGAAUACAUUGAAUAAAAUAUACUUUAAAUAAAAAA